UAGGGAAUCUUCGGCAAUGGGGGCAACCCUGACCGAGCAACGCCGCGUGAGUGAAGAAGGUUUUCGGAUCGUAAAGCUCUGUUGUAAGAGAAGAACGUGUGUGAGAGUGGAAAGUUCACACAGUGACGGUAACUUACCAGAAAGGGACGGCUAACUACGUGCCAGCAGCCGCGGUAAUACGUAGGUCCCGAGCGUUGUCCGGAUUUAUUGGGCGUAAAGCGAGCGCAGGCGGUUUAAUAAGUCUGAAGUUAAAGGCAGUGGCUUAACCAUUGUUCGCUUUGGAAACUGUUAAACUUGAGUGCACAAGGGGAGAGUGGAAUUCCAUGUGUAGCGGUGAAAUGCGUAGAUAUAUGGAGGAACACCGGUGGCGAAAGCGGCUCUCUGGUCUGUAACUGACGCUGAGGCUCGAAAGCGUGGGGAGCAAACAGG
Molecule: ribosomal RNA, 429 nt
Filed under: bacterium
Lineage: Bacteria
Description: partial 16S ribosomal RNA
Rfam family: Bacterial small subunit ribosomal RNA
Source: RNAcentral